UCCCUACGGGACGCAGCAGUGGGGAAUAUUGGACAAUGGGGGGAACCCUGAUCCAGCGACGCCGCGUGAGUGAAGAAGUAUUUCGGUAUGUAAAGCUCUAUCAGCAGGGAAGAAAGAAAUGACGGUACCUGAAUAAGAAGCCCCGGCUAACUACGUGCCAGCAGCCGCGGUAAUACGUAGGGGGCAAGCGUUAUCCGGAUUUACUGGGUGUAAAGGGAGCGUAGACGGCAAUACAAGUCGGAAGUGAAAUACCCGGGCUCAACCUGGGAACUGCUUUGGAAACUGUAUGGCUAGAGUGCUGGAGG
RNAcentral lists this ribosomal RNA (305 nucleotides) under uncultured bacterium. RNAcentral's name for it is "bacterial SSU rRNA". It matches the Rfam family "Bacterial small subunit ribosomal RNA", at positions 337 to 655 of the family's 1533-position model. The record is from RNAcentral.